UGAUCCCUCCCGGACCUCACCAGGCGCGACCGGAUCCGCGGCCACUAUUAUUAUUUUACCUCCUUUCCCCUUUCCAUCGCCGAUUCCUUGCCUCCUCCCGUCGGCUCCUUCCAUGGAGAUCUCCUUCGAGGCGUGGGAGGGCGUGCACCGGCACAGCCAGGACCUCGCGGACCGCCUCGCGCAGGGCUUCACGGGCCUGCUCCAGGUGCCGUCAUAGUUCCCGUGGCCCCCCGCGCCGCACAAGCGGAUGCCCAUGCCCUUCGAUAUCGACCUCCCCGUCGUCCCCUUCGGCGGCGCUCGCGGCCGCGGCGUCCCGAGGAAGGACUUCCCCUUCCCUGCCACCGCCGUCUCCUCCGUCAUCGACAUCGGCGGCAUGCUGGGCCAGGCCGAGGUCGACAUAGAUUCAAUUUUUGUUGAUUGUUGUGGAGGUCUGCAGAGUAUUUAUUUGACUUUAUAAGUUGUCCUUUUCUAGCUACAUUUAGUCUAAUUUGGAUUGGAUUUGGAUUUGGAUCCAUGUGGUGGAUUUGAUUCAGUCUCGAUUUGGUCCCUUGCACUUUGGUUGGAGAUUUGAAAAAUCUUGAGCACGUAGAUUUGUGAGAAAUCUAGUUGAGUGUGCAUGAUUACGGAUUGGGCAUUGUAAUACCCGAGGACAAAACCAGAUACGCACCAUAUGUGAGUCUUAGAAACCAAAUCUCACAUAUAGCUACAAAUAAGGGGUAAUAUCAAAAGACAAUGCAUAAAUAUAUAACGUACUCAGUAUAAAAGAUAUAACCUUUGAUAGCAAACAGUGGAUAGACAACUCCAAACUUCGGGUAUUAACUUCUCUCUACAGGAUCCAACUGACUGGUUGAUCACGAGCCCAAAACUUCUCCUGAGGUGUGGGGGAAAUUGCAAGAGUGAGCACAUAUCGUACUCAACAAGUAUAACCAGGGGUUCAUGAGGCUCAAUUAGCUGACACUGGUUUGACUGCAUUUAGCUUUUAUAUGUAGAUAGUAUUUUUAUAUUUAGAUAGCAAAUGCCAAGGUAGCAUAAUUAAAGCCCAUAACCACAUGAUCAAAUGUAUACAAGAAUUAUGAAUAACACAUAUAAACAACAUAAUAAACCAUCUUUUAUUAUCAUUAAUCAUAUUCAUCAGUGUCCAUCUAUUCCGUCAGUUUUCCGGGCCACCCGUAUCCGUGGGCACGGCUAGUAUACCAGAUUUAACACUCUGCAGAGGUUGUACAUCUUUACCCAUGAGUCAUGAUUUACCCUUUCGCCCGAGGUCAUGAGUCUCUUAACCCCCUUCCUAGGAAGGUCGGCAGGGAUCACUAUGAAGUCUUUCAAAGGUUCGUCUAACAAGUUAGGGCCGCUUAGUUUCAUUAGUCAGUCCAUGUGAUUCACCCGCAGGAAUCCACGGUCUGCUAUUCCCCAAUUGCGCCACACGGGUAACCGCUAACGAGCUAGAAAAGUUACUCAUGCUUGACUAAAGCCAGAGCCAUAUAGCCCUCAUUGUUGUACGAGUUGUCCCAGCUUUUGCCAAGGGAUAAGUCCUUAUGGAGGGUCAAGAUCAAUCUAGCAAAAGCCAGAGUUCUUUCCACCCUUUAUAUUCAAGUUGCUAGAAAGCUUAUUUUAUUGUUUAUUGUAUAUGUAUAUCCAAAUAUUCAUGUUACAAGAUCAUGGAUUAUUAAUCAAGCACUAGCAAGAACUAUCCAAAUGCAUAUCCAAAAAGGUAACAAGGAAUUCAGAAUAACAAUCAUCUAUGAUUUUGCUAAGGUCAUCAAGGUGGACACAUGCAUAUGAUAUAUAUUGUAUUAAUUGUGUAUAGGUAACAAGGAUAGUCCCAAGUUAUACUUGCCUUGAUCAAAGCUCUCCUGAGCCUGCUGCUGGUUGUCAAAAGCUUGACCUUGAUCACCAACGUAAAGCUCACCGACUAAACUCGAUCAUCAAUCAACAACACGCAAUCCAAUGUAGACAAUCAUACACGAAGCAAACAAGCUAUAAUUAGAACAAUACACCAACGGUGAUAAAACAAAUAUAAAAGUUUAUAAAAAUAUUCUACGCAGUGCUACGAUCACACAAACGUAAAGUUAACGAAAAUCGAACUUAAAACGUAGAAGUUAUAAAUUUUCUAAGAUUUCCUACAGAUAAAUAAUUAAUUAAAUGCUACUGCGAAAAUAAAAAGUUUUAAAACUGAGAAUAAAUACUUCUAACAUGUAGAGCUCGUAAAUACGAAUCUAACGAAAUUUGAAUGGGUCAAAUCGGAUUUAAAACAAAGAUUUUAUGAGCUAAACAAAUCCAGUGGCAGUUUAGUAAAUACUGAAAACGCAUUUUGAAAUCAAGCCGGCAGACUUUACGUCUUCAAAAUCAGAAGGCUUAUUUCUUUCUAUACGUUUUGGACUGCGGGUUGCUUUCAAGAAAACGCAGGGACUCUUUAGAAAAAUAGCCAUCGAAGGAGUAUGUUUUAUUUUCAUCCGUUGGAUCCUGAUCCGAUGACUCAGAAUGCAUCCAGGGGAUUGGGAGUCUCAGCCGGCGGUGCCCAGGAGCCAGACGGUGGCUCCAUUGCCGGAAAGAGAAGAAACUCGCCGGAGUUCGGGGAGAAAACACUAGGAGCCAUGGUUUUCGAUGGGAAAAGAUCCAGGGCGUAGAGGAACUUCGUGCGAACUCACCUAGGGGGUUAUUGAGGCUCCGGAGAUCUCGGGGGAGGCGCGCGACGCAAAACCGCGGACGGGGAGUCCUCCUGCAGGUUCGGCUUUGAUGGGAGUGCAUUAGAACACAGUAGAGAGCAAGAGAAGGGCUAGGCAUCUUCGUAACCUCGAUCCAAAGCUUGGCAAGCUCUUGAAUUUGGAAACGCGGCAGCCGAGGAAGAGUUUCACGGCGGCGGCGUUCCCUGCUUCUUGGCGAGAUCCGAACGCAAGGCUGUGCAGCAGCUAGGGACUCACGGCCCUAAUAGAUGGGAAAGAGGAGUUGCGGGGGCGGAAACAGAGCUUUAUAGUGGCUCAGCGUGUGCACGGCAAGAAAUCCCGAGAAAUCGGGGGAAGGUUCCGAUGGAGCAGAGUCCAAGCCGGUCACGGCUUGAGGUUGAAGAAGCCAGCUGACAGAUGGGCCCAAAAUGUCAGAGAGAUAGGGAGUGGGGUCUGUCGGUCAGAGAGAGAAAAGGGGAAGGAGGGAAGAGGCACGCGCGGCUGGGCUGGGGGGAUGGGCCGGGCGAGGGAGAAAGCUGGCCACGGGGGAAAGACUGCUGGGCCGAAAGGCCACCAGGCCGAGGGCAGGGUUGGUGCUUUUCUUUUUCUUUUUUUUUAUUCCUUUUCCAAAACCUUUUCUAAAUAGGAUUUUGAAUGCAAAAUAAUUUCAAGCCAAAGGCAAUCAACACAAAAUGAAAUAUGAUUCAGCAUGAAUGCAUAAACAAGUUACUAUACUUUAUGUUGGAUUUUAAUUUCAAUAAAGUUUAUUUAUUCACUACAUUCAAAUGCUCACAAAAAAAUGCUUAAAUAAAUCCAAUUAAUUCCUAUAACUGAAAUCAAAUUUUUGGGUGUUACUUACAGGCAUGAGUAGAGAUAAGAUAAUGCAGACGCCAGACGAACACAGAAAAAUCGAUUUCUAUAUUUCUAUUGUAUUUUUAUUUGGGUGCGGUCUCGAUCUCUUAACUCUGCAAUGAGGUAUAGUUGGGAAAUAAAUAGGCCAGACCAAAAAAAUCCAGACAAAAAAGUGGCUGAAAUUUUGCCUCUUUAUUAUUAGGUAUAGACUAGCUACCAAUAUGCAACACAUUUUCCUAAAAAUCACAGUAUAAUUAAUAUCAUCUUUGACUGUAGGAUGAGCCACAUUGUCACAUAAGUGUUGUGUAUAUAUAUACUUGUGUAUUUUCUAUUUUUCUAAGUUUCAGUACACAUAUACUAAUUAUAGGAAGCAGCAAAAUCAGGUGCACGAACAUCCAGCGAAACAGAUUGAGCUAGAGUUGAAUCCUACAACUUAGGCAAUAACUCUUGAUCAUUUUAUCCUUGACGUUUUAUGCAAAAUUUGGUAAAAUAAAUGUAACAUGCAUUAAAUGUAUUUUCUAAAAUUAAUUAUGGAUGAAUGACAUGUGAAUUGGAUGACAUGGGGCUAGCUGAUGGAGCAGCUAAUUCCCUACAAUAUUUGGAUGGAAAGUUGGUAGGAUUAAUAACCAACUCUCACUUGUGUUAUUGGGUCAUAUCAAAUUGUGUCAACCAUGAACUUGUUUGAAACGGGCCAAUUCUUAUCCAUAAAGUUGUUAUAUAAUUCCUAUGAUAAGUGAAGAGAGGUUUAGGUGAUGAAAUCCUCAUUCAGAUGUUGACGAAGUACAUCGCCUAGGCGCAUAUAUUAGCACACAUGGAUAGAUGUAGAUGUAUAAUAUACAAAAAUGAGAAAAGUUUGAUAUCUUGGCCAUGAGUAGUAAUCAAAAGAAGUGUCAUGGAAAGUUAGUCAAUAUAAUUAUGGAUAAAGUGAUACAAACCUGCACAGAGUUAAAUCAUGAAUUCAUAUCUUGUCUCUUGGAUUAGAGGCUACGAAACCUAUGGGUGGCUCUUCCUCAAGAUACAAGUGAUUAGUAGUGUUUUUUAAACUGAACUUGACUUUUUCUACAAAUACUAAUUCAAACAGCAAGAUGAUAUAUUAUUGAUCAUUUGAUAUGAUCAGAUUGCAUUGCUUUGAUAUAUAUGCUUGCUGAGUACGUUGUAUUACUUUUGUAUUAACUCUUCCUCUUCUGAAGAUCCUCAAGAAUCUCUAGAUGAUGGUUAUGCCUACACAGAUUGGGAUGAUGGCUAUGAGGAAGCUAUAGUCAAGUUGUUGGCACCUCCUAUGGUGAAUAGGAUGAAUAAAUAAAUCCCCUCAGCUAAGUCAUGUAUGUCAUGGCUAGUAAGCUAGUUUGGACUUCUAUAUGAAGGGCUUGUAAUAAUGUGCAAACAUUUUAAGACUUAAGUGAGUAGGAUGGUAUUGUACUAAUAUUUGGCACCAUCUAGCCAACGUACUCAGCAAUUUAGUUGAAGUUCCACUCAA
Molecule: long non-coding RNA, 4989 nt
Filed under: Sorghum bicolor (sorghum)
Lineage: Eukaryota; Viridiplantae; Streptophyta; Magnoliopsida; Poales; Poaceae
Description: long non-coding RNA (SBIC_LNC009893)
Source: RNAcentral